RNAcentral lists this unclassified non-coding RNA (339 nucleotides) under soil metagenome. RNAcentral describes it as "partial contains 5.8S ribosomal RNA, internal transcribed spacer 2, and large subunit ribosomal RNA". The stretch from base 1 to 120 matches the Rfam family "5.8S ribosomal RNA", at positions 35 to 154 of the family's 154-position model. The record is from RNAcentral.
GAUGAAGAACGUAGCGAAAUGCGAUAACUAAUGUGAAUUGCAGAAUUCAGUGAAUCAUCGAGUCUUUGAACGCACAUUGCGCCCCCUGGUAUUCCGGGGGGCAUGCCUGUCCGAGCGUCAUUGCUGCCCUCAAGCACGGCUUGUGUGUUGGGCUCCGUCCCCCCGGGGACGGGCCCGAAAGGCAGCGGCGGCACCGAGUCCGGUCCUCGAGCGUAUGGGGCUUUGUCACCCGCUCUGUAGGCCCGGCCGGCGCCAGCCGACAACCCAUCAUCCUUUUCAGGUUGACCUCGGAUCAGGUAGGGUUACCCGCUGAACUUAAGCAUAUCAAUAAGCGGAGGA